This 489-nucleotide ribosomal RNA is filed under the name uncultured beta proteobacterium. RNAcentral describes it as "bacterial SSU rRNA". It matches the Rfam family "Bacterial small subunit ribosomal RNA", at positions 46 to 526 of the family's 1533-position model. The record is from RNAcentral. Lineage: Bacteria; Pseudomonadati; Pseudomonadota; Betaproteobacteria.
GCUUAACACAUGCAAGUCGAACGGCAGCACGAAGAGCUUGCUCUUUGGUGGCGAGUGGCGAACGGGUGAGUAAUGUAUCGGAACGUGCCCAGUAGCGGGGGAUAACUGGCCGAAAGGUCAGCUAAUACCGCAUACGCCCUACGGGGGAAAGGGGGGGAUCGCAAGACCUCUCACUAUUGGAGCGGCCGAUAUCGGAUUAGCUAGUUGGUGGGGUAAAGGCCUACCAAGGCGACGAUCCGUAGCUGGUUUGAGAGGACGACCAGCCACACUGGGACUGAGACACGGCCCAGACUCCUACGGGAGGCAGCAGUGGGGAAUUUUGGACAAUGGGGGGAACCCUGAUCCAGCCAUCCCGCGUGUGCGAUGAAGGCCUUCGGGUUGUAAAGCACUUUUGGCAGGGAAGAAACGGCCCGGGAUAAUACCCUGGGCUAAUGACGGUACCUGCAGAAUAAGCACCGGCUAACUACGUGCCAGCAGCCGCGGUAAUAC